GAUGAACGCUGGCGGCGUGCCUAAUACAUGCAAGUCGAGCGAACAGACGAGGAGCUUGCUCCUCUGACGUUAGCGGCGGACGGGUGAGUAACACGUGGAUAACCUACCUAUAAGACUGGGAUAACUUCGGGAAACCGGAGCUAAUACCGGAUAAUAUAUUGAACCGCAUGGUUCAAUAGUGAAAGACGGUUUUGCUGUCACUUAUAGAUGGAUCCGCGCCGCAUUAGCUAGUUGGUAAGGUAACGGCUUACCAAGGCAACGAUGCGUAGCCGACCUGAGCGGGUGAUCGGCCACACUGGAACUGAGACACGGUCCAGACUCCUACGGGAGGCAGCAGUAGGGAAUCUUCCGCAAUGGGCGAAAGCUUGACGGAGCAACGCGGCGUGAGUGAUGAAGGUCUUCGGAUCGUAAAACUCUGUUAUUAGGGAAGAACAAAUGUGUAAGUAACUAUGCACGUCUGGACGGUACCUAAGCAGAAAGCCACGGCUACCUACGU
RNAcentral lists this ribosomal RNA (496 nucleotides) under uncultured bacterium. Its description in RNAcentral is "partial 16S ribosomal RNA". It matches the Rfam family "Bacterial small subunit ribosomal RNA", at positions 28 to 506 of the family's 1533-position model. The record is from RNAcentral.